UGGGGAAUAUUGCACAAUGGGCGCAAGCCUGAUGCAGCCAUGCCGCGUGUGUGAAGAAGGCCUUCGGGUUGUAAACCUCUUUUAGCAAGGAAGAAGCGAAAGUGACGGUACUUGCAGAAAAAGCGCCGGCUAACUACGUGCCAGCAGCCGCGGUAAUACGUAGGGCGCAAGCGUUAUCCGGAAUUAUUGGGCGUAAAGAGCUCGUAGGCGGUUUGUCGCGUCUGCUGUGAAAACCCGAGGCUCAACCUCGGGCCUGCAGUGGGUACGGGCAGACUAGGGUGCGGUAGGGGGAGAUUGGAACUCCUGGUGUAGCGGUGGAAUGCGCAGAUAUCAGGAAGAACACCGAUGGCGAAGGCAGAUCUCUGGGCCCGUAACUGACGCUGAGGAGCGAAAGGGUGGGGAGCAAACAGGGCUUAGAUACCCUUGGUAGUCCACCCCGUAAACGUUGGGAACUAGUUGUGGGGUCCAUUCCACGGAUUCCGUGACGCAGCUAACGCAUUAAGUUCCCCGCCUGGGGAGUACGGCCGC
This 528-nucleotide ribosomal RNA is filed under the name uncultured bacterium. RNAcentral's name for it is "partial 16S ribosomal RNA". It matches the Rfam family "Bacterial small subunit ribosomal RNA", at positions 355 to 889 of the family's 1533-position model. The record is from RNAcentral.